This 495-nucleotide ribosomal RNA is filed under the name uncultured bacterium. Its description in RNAcentral is "partial 16S ribosomal RNA". It matches the Rfam family "Bacterial small subunit ribosomal RNA", at positions 28 to 507 of the family's 1533-position model. The record is from RNAcentral.
GACGAACGCUGGCGGCGUGCCUAAUACAUGCAAGUAGAACGCUGAAGGAGGAGCUUGCUUCUCUGGAUGAGUUGCGAACGGGUGAGUAACGCGUAGGUAACCUGCCUGGUAGCGGGGGAUAACUAUUGGAAACGAUAGCUAAUACCGCAUAAUAGUAGAUGUUGCAUGACAUUUGCUUAAAAGGUGCAAUUGCAUCACUACCAGAUGGACCUGCGUUGUAUUAGCUAGUUGGUGGGGUAACGGCUCACCAAGGCGACGAUACAUAGCCGACCUGAGAGGGUGAUCGGCCACACUGGGACUGAGACACGGCCCAGACUCCUACGGGAGGCAGCAGUAGGGAAUCUUCGGCAAUGGACGGAAGUCUGACCGAGCAACGCCGCGUGAGUGAAGAAGGUUUUCGGAUCGUAAAGCUCGGUUGUAAGAGAGGAACGAGUGUGAGAGUGGAAAGUUCACACUGUGACGGUAUCUGACCAGAAAGGGACGGCUAACUACGUG